GUGCUUGCUUCAGCAGCACAUAUACUAAAAUUGGAACGACACAGAGAAGAUUAGCAUGGUCCCUACAUAAAGAUGACAUGCAAAUUUGUGAAACAUUCCAAAAUUUU
This is a small nuclear RNA of Cynocephalus volans (Philippine flying lemur), 107 nucleotides long. NCBI's taxonomy places the organism in Eukaryota, Metazoa, Chordata, Mammalia, Dermoptera, Cynocephalidae. The record is from RefSeq and is a predicted model, not a curated record.